AAGUCGAGCGGUAGAGAGAAGCUUGCUUCUCUUGAGAGCGGCGGACGGGUGAGUAAUACCUAGGAAUCUGCCUGAUAGUGGGGGAUAACGUUCGGAAACGGACGCUAAUACCGCAUACGUCCUACGGGAGAAAGCAGGGGACCUUCGGGCCUUGCGCUAUCAGAUGAGCCUAGGUCGGAUUAGCUAGUUGGUGAGGUAAUGGCUCACCAAGGCUACGAUCCGUAACUGGUCUGAGAGGAUGAUCAGUCACACUGGAACUGAGACACGGUCCAGACUCCUACGGGAGGCAGCAGUGGGGAAUAUUGGACAAUGGGCGAAAGCCUGAUCCAGCCAUGCCGCGUGUGUGAAGAAGGUCUUCGGAUUGUAAAGCACUUUAAGUUGGGAGGAAGGACAUUAACCUAAUACGUUGGUGUCUUGACGUUACCGACAGAAUAAGCACCGGCUAACUCUGUGCCAGCAGCCGCGGUAAUACAGAGGGUGCAAGCGUUAAUCGGAAUUACUGGGCGUAAAGCGCGCGUAGGUGGUUUGUUAAGUUGAAUGUGAAAUCCCCGGGCUCAACCUGGGAACUGCAUCCAAAACUGGCAAGCUAGAGUAUGGUAGAGGGUAGUGGAAUUUCCUGUGUAGCGGUGAAAUGCGUAGAUAUAGGAAGGAACACCAGUGGCGAAGGCGACUACCUGGACUGAUACUGACACUGAGGUGCGAAAGCGUGGGGAGCAACAGGAUUAGAUACCCUGGUAGUCCACGCCGUAAACGAUGUCAACUAGCCGUUGGGAGUCUUGAACUCUUANUGGCGCANCUAACGCAUAAGUUGACCCCUGGGGAGUACGNCNCAAGGUUAAACUCAAUGANUGACGGGGNCCNCCANCGGUGGACAUGGGUUUA
RNAcentral lists this ribosomal RNA (882 nucleotides) under Pseudomonas sp. RNAcentral describes it as "bacterial SSU rRNA". It matches the Rfam family "Bacterial small subunit ribosomal RNA", at positions 59 to 948 of the family's 1533-position model. The record is from RNAcentral. Lineage: Bacteria; Pseudomonadati; Pseudomonadota; Gammaproteobacteria; Pseudomonadales; Pseudomonadaceae.